GUGGUCACUUCGGGAGCACAUAUAUUAAAAUUGUAAUGAUACAGAGAAGAUUAGCAUGGCCCCUGCACAAGGAUGACACGCACGUUUAUGAAGUUUUCAUAUUUUUC
Molecule: small nuclear RNA, 107 nt
Organism: Pongo abelii (Sumatran orangutan)
Lineage: Eukaryota; Metazoa; Chordata; Mammalia; Primates; Hominidae
Source: Ensembl